GAGGAAACCACUCUACCUGGCAGAGCUGUCUCCCUCCUCCAGCUCCCCAAGAACUCACAGGAAAACCAUGCUGUCUGCUCUGGUGGAAUAGAACAGACAAUCUCUUGUGCCCAAUUAUGUCAUAUUUAGUUUCCUGAGCAGAAUCUUAUGUCGAUUUCAUGUCAUCUGAUUCUGUCUCUCUCUUCACUGAUGCUCAUCACUGGGUUUCCAGGUCUGCAAUGGGACCAGGGCCAUGGUUUCACUUCCAUUCGACCCAGCUGGCUGCUUGUUACUGGAGACAAUGAUCCUGAUUUAAAAAAUUCUUUCAAGCUGACAAAAACAUACAAAAGUCAACAUGCAUCUCAGCUCAUGGGAUCAUAUCUCUGCAGGUCAACCAGCAGCUGCCAGUUUUCCAAAUGAAAUUCAGACCAAAGCCAGAUAAGACAUCCUGUCACAGGCCAUGUGUCCCUCACCUUUGCAAAGCGUCAGUUCAUGCUAUUUGCCUGUUGAGUUAUUAAAAUCGCUUGUCCACUUAAAAUAUUUGCAUUUAUUAUUUCUAAUAUUAUAUGGAUCACAAAUGUUUAAUCUGUAGUCCUUUGUUAGCAACAAUUAACACAAAUUAAAUGCAAUGCCAUGAUGGAUAGAGAUUGUUUAUUAACAAUGAGAAAUGAUUAUAUGUCAUCUUACUUUUGUUACUGAGAAGAAGUUCUAGAUUUUUUGUGAGGGUAGGAGUUUGAAAAGCCCAAGGGGACCCUGACUCUCCAACUCUUAUGGUAGUCACCUUAAAUAUUUAAUAUUGAGCUUAGAAGUGUGUGUUUCGCAUAGUCUGCUUUUAUAACUUUUAGUACAUUUGAAAAUGGCUCAUACUACAGAAAGCUAAGAAAUUUAGAAUCUAGCAUGUAGAAAUGAGUUUCCUACCUUCAAUACAUUCUUUUCUUCCAUUCCAAGAUAAAUGGCAAAAGUAACCUCCACAGCACGGCUAAUGGUUUUCCUGUUAAACUGUCUGGCUAGACUUUCACUUCCAGGCAGCGUGCUAGAAUAUAUCUGGUAGAGCAUAGAGAUACUCUGAAGCUCCAUCCUGAUGAAUAGCUAGAGCCCACAUAAAAUGUAUCUUUGCUGCAUUUUUGGAUUUCCAAGAAGUGAGGAAAAUUUCAACUGCUUUUUGAAAAGGUGAAACGGGAGCCUGUAGUGAAAACAAAAUGAAGAGCCUGUUUCAGAUGUGCAUCCUGGAGGUCUGACCAUGUCACCUUCCUUCCCAUCUCCAACUGUUUGGCAUCAUCUUUUGACAUCUGGACAAGUCUAGCUUCCGUGGGUCUUGGGAGACAGGGAUAGAUGUUGAAGCUGGAGGCUGGAAGGGAGUCUGAUGAUGCUGUUUUGAUAGAACCAUUUGCUCAGACCCAGGAGACAGGUUUCCUAUCCUUAGAAACUCUUGCUCCAAGAACUUAGAGGAACAUCCAGAAGAGGAAAA
RNAcentral lists this long non-coding RNA (1447 nucleotides) under Macaca fascicularis (crab-eating macaque). RNAcentral describes it as "lncRNA (ENSMFAG00000055127.1)". The record is from RNAcentral. Lineage: Eukaryota; Metazoa; Chordata; Mammalia; Primates; Cercopithecidae.